Molecule: small nucleolar RNA, 206 nt
Organism: Heterocephalus glaber (naked mole-rat)
Lineage: Eukaryota; Metazoa; Chordata; Mammalia; Rodentia; Bathyergidae
Gene: U3
Rfam family: Small nucleolar RNA U3
About the family: Small nucleolar RNAs (snoRNAs) are involved in the processing and modification of rRNA in the nucleolus. There are two main classes of snoRNAs: the box C/D class, and the box H/ACA class.
Source: Ensembl
AAGACUAUACUUUCAGGGAUCGUUUAUAUAGUUUGUUACUAGAGAAAUUUUUCCAAUCAUGUAGAAUUCUGGAAACCAUGAGAAGAAGCAUGGUGCUUUCUCCUGAGCAUAAAAGCGCACUUGGUAUUGCUUUGUUGUGACUACCUUUUGUCAUUGAUGAUCAUAAAACAAAACAAAAAAAUUAAUUUGUAAAUUGCCUUUGAGGC